This 386-nucleotide ribosomal RNA is filed under the name uncultured bacterium. Its description in RNAcentral is "bacterial SSU rRNA". It matches the Rfam family "Bacterial small subunit ribosomal RNA", at positions 28 to 416 of the family's 1533-position model. The record is from RNAcentral.
GACGAACGCUGGCGGCGUGCUUAACACAUGCAAGUCGAGCGGAAAGGCCCUUUCGGGGGUACUCGAGCGGCGAACGGGUGAGUAACACGUGAGUAAUCUGCCCUUGGCUUUGGGAUAACUACCGGAAACGGUGGCUAAUACCGGAUAUGACCAUGCUCGGCAUCGGGUGUGGUGGAAAGUUUUUUCGGCCAGGGAUGUGCUCGCGGCCUAUCAGCUUGUUGGUGGGGUAAUGGCCUACCAAGGCUUCGACGGGUAGCCGGCCUGAGAGGGUGACCGGCCACACUGGGACUGAGACACGGCCCAGACUCCUACGGGAGGCAGCAGUGGGGAAUAUUGGACAAUGGGCGGAAGCCUGAUCCAGCAACGCCGCGUGAGGGAUGACGGCC